UGCGUAGGCGGUUAAGUAAGUUAUCUGUGAAAUCCCUGGGCUCAACCUGGGUGUGAAAGAUGAUACUGCUUGACUGGAGUGUGGUAGAGGGGGGUAGAAUUCCAGGUGUAGCGGUGAAAUGCGUAGAGAUCUGGAGGAAUACCGAUUGCGAAGGCAGCCCCCUGGACAGUGACUGACGCUCAUAUGCGAAAGCGUGGGGAUCAAACAGGAUUAGAUACCCGGGUA
RNAcentral lists this ribosomal RNA (225 nucleotides) under uncultured Thorsellia sp. Its description in RNAcentral is "partial 16S ribosomal RNA". It matches the Rfam family "Bacterial small subunit ribosomal RNA", at positions 568 to 792 of the family's 1533-position model. Lineage: Bacteria; Pseudomonadati; Pseudomonadota; Gammaproteobacteria; Enterobacterales; Thorselliaceae. The record is from RNAcentral.